Long non-coding RNA from Esox lucius (northern pike), 1089 nucleotides. The record is from Ensembl. Lineage: Eukaryota; Metazoa; Chordata; Actinopteri; Esociformes; Esocidae.
GCAGAGUUUGAAAUUUCGGGGUUCUCUUCACUUUUUUGUUUCUUGGCUGAUGCUUUAGUUGGGGUGUGUUGAAGUCUAACACUUCCCCGAGUUGGUUUGUUGGAAAGGAGAAUAAAACACCAGGAGUCAGGUCAAUUACGGUACCGCAUAUUCCGUUUAUUACAAAAGCUUUUGGAGACAAGUGUCGCCGCACAAUGUCUAAACAUGAACUGUCAUAACAGCAUUAUUUAUACUUCAAACACGCCUAAAAAGUGGGGGCGUUAAGGUAGCCAAGCAGUGUGCCAUUGGUCCAAUUUAUGUUCUAUACCUUAUAUGUGUACAUACAGCACAAGCGUCAUAUUUGGGCUUUAUGUCUUCAGCUUGAAGUUCCUCAGUAUUUAUGUGCAUUGUCAAUCUGUGUCCUGUUUGCCUAAGACACCCAAGCUAAAUCUACUUCCUCUUCCUAGCAACCGUCUAAAUAAGAUUUCCUGUUUUUUCUACUUGCAUCUUUCAGUUUCAGCAUUUUGCUACAGACAUUCAAUAUUUGGCCUUAAUGCUUACAACAGUUAUACAUUCAGUAUAUCCACAGGUGUUCUGCAAGGAGGAAGAUUCUUUGUGUUUCUCUUUGUGAUUAAAGUGGUCGACAUCCAUGACGUAUUCAUGUUCGGCUAGAGCAUCCAAGGCUUUAACCUCUUUCCGUCCUCCUGGGAUGACUAUUUUUGGGUAAUUAGAAGCCUUUUUUUUCUGACAUAGUCUAUACUCACUGAUACACAACAAUUGGGAUGGUAAAAGUUGAAAACUAACAUAAGAUUAAAAAUUUGCUGAAGAGUCGAGAUCACAUCUGCUUAGCCCGCCAUCUUGUUCCCCUCCUUGGAGAGUGUGGAUAUCCAUGCCUGCAGCAUCCUGUGGCUGUCAUCACCCCGUUUCGACAGCUGGUAGCUGAUGCUGAUUUACAGGUACCGUUUACCUGAAAUAAGAAAAGUAAAAACGUACAUUUGUGGAGUAUUUCCUGCUCUCCUGAUUACUUCUGGGAUAUCAGAUGCGUUCUCGCUGAACAAGUCACCAACCCAUACAUCCUCGAUAAAAGAGGCGGAUCAAGUACAUAUCUGG